UCCUACGGGAGGCAGCAGCGGGGAAUAUUGGGCAAUGGGCGCAAGCCUGACCCAGCAACGCCGCGUGAAGGAAGAAGGCUUUCGGGUUGUAAACUUCUUUUAAGAGGGAAGAGUAGAAGACGGUACCUCUUGAAUAAGCCACGGCUAACUACGUGCCAGCAGCCGCGGUAAUACGUAGGUGGCAAGCGUUGUCCGGAUUUACUGGGUGUAAAGCGCUCGUAGGCGGUAUGUCAAGUCAAGGGUGAAAUCCCCGCGCUCAACGUGGGAACUGCCUUUGAAACUGGCAAACUGGAGUGUGUGAGAGG
This 305-nucleotide ribosomal RNA is filed under the name uncultured bacterium. RNAcentral's name for it is "bacterial SSU rRNA". It matches the Rfam family "Bacterial small subunit ribosomal RNA", at positions 337 to 657 of the family's 1533-position model. The record is from RNAcentral.